This 465-nucleotide ribosomal RNA is filed under the name Vreelandella stevensii. RNAcentral describes it as "partial 16S ribosomal RNA". It matches the Rfam family "Bacterial small subunit ribosomal RNA", at positions 338 to 795 of the family's 1533-position model. The record is from RNAcentral. Lineage: Bacteria; Pseudomonadati; Pseudomonadota; Gammaproteobacteria; Oceanospirillales; Halomonadaceae.
CCUACGGGUUGCUGCAGUGGGGAAUAUUGGACAAUGGGCGAAAGCCUGAUCCAGCCAUGCCGCGUGUGUGAAGAAGGCCUUCGGGUUGUAAAGCACUUUCAGUGGGGAAGAAAGCCUUGGGGCUAAUACCCUCGAGGAAGGACAUCACCCACAGAAGAAGCACCGGCUAACUCCGUGCCAGCAGCCGCGGUAAUACGGAGGGUGCGAGCGUUAAUCGGAAUUACUGGGCGUAAAGCGCGCGUAGGCGGUCUGAUAAGCCGGUUGUGAAAGCCCCGGGCUCAACCUGGGAACGGCAUCCGGAACUGUCAGGCUAGAGUGCAGGAGAGGAAGGUAGAAUUCCCGGUGUAGCGGUGAAAUGCGUAGAGAUCGGGAGGAAUACCAGUGGCGAAGGCGGUCUUCUGGACUGACACUGACGCUGAGGUGCGAAAGCGUGGGUAGCAAACAGGAUUAGAUACCCUAGUAGUC